Molecule: ribosomal RNA, 492 nt
Filed under: uncultured bacterium
Lineage: Bacteria
Description: partial 16S ribosomal RNA
Rfam family: Bacterial small subunit ribosomal RNA
Source: RNAcentral
GGUUAACGCUAGCGGUGCGCCUAACACAUGCAAGUCGAGCGGGAUUAUUUGGAAGCUUGCUUCUAGAUAUGAGAGCGGCGAACGGGUGAGGAACACGUUGGAAUCUGCCCCCAAGUCAGGGAUAGCGAGAAGAAAUUCUCAUUAAUACCGGAUAGUCUCUUUGGAGUAAAAAUUUAUUGCUUGGGGAAGAGCCUGCGUUCUAUCAGCUAGUUGGUGAGAUAAAAGCUCACCAAGGCUAUGACGGAUAACUGGUCUGAGAGGAUGAUCAGUCACAAUGGAACUGAGACACGGUCCAUACUCCUACGGGAGGCAGCAGUGAGGAAUCUUCCACAAUGGGCGAAAGCCUGAUCCAGCCAUGCCGCGUGUGUGAAGAAGGUCUUCGGAUUGUAAAGCACUUUAAGUCGGGAGGAAGGGCUGCAGGUUAAUACCUUGCAGCCUUGACGUUACCGACAGAAUAAGCACCGGCUAACUUCGUGCCAGCCGCCGCCGUAA